RNAcentral lists this ribosomal RNA (493 nucleotides) under uncultured bacterium. RNAcentral describes it as "partial 16S ribosomal RNA". It matches the Rfam family "Bacterial small subunit ribosomal RNA", at positions 28 to 507 of the family's 1533-position model. The record is from RNAcentral.
GACGAACGCUGGCGGCGUGCUUAACACAUGCAAGUCGAACGGUGAAGCGCCUUCCUUUUUGGUGGGUGUGGAUGAGUGGCGAACGGGUGAGUAACACGUGAGUAACCUGCCCCCUUCUUCUGGAUAACCGCAUGAAAGUGUGGCUAAUACGGGAUAUUCUGGGUCUGUCGCAUGAUGGGUCUGGGAAAGAUAUUGUUUCGGUGGGGGAUGGGCUCGCGGCCUAUCAGCUUGUUGGUGGGGUGAUGGCCUACCAAGGCGGUGACGGGUAGCCGGCCUGAGAGGGUGGACGGCACACCGGGGACGGGGAACCGGCCCGGCCUCUUAGGGGAGGAGGCGGGGGGAAUAAUGGACAAAGGGGGGCAGGCCUGAGGCAGCGCCGCGGGGUGGGGAUGGAGGCCUGCGGGUUGUGAACCUCUUUCGCCAGUGAAGCAGGCCUGCCUCGUUUGUGGGUGGGUUGACGGUAGCUGGAUAAGAAGCGCCGGCUAACUACGUG